GACGAACGCUGGCGGCGUGCUUAACACAUGCAAGUCGAACGGAAAGGCACUGAUUUUGUGGGGUGAUCGAGUGGCGAUCGGGUGCGUAACAGGUGAGUAUCCUGCCCUAGUCUUUGGGAUAACUUCAGGAAACUGGGGUUAAUAUCAGAUAGGAGCCCCUGCUGCAGGGAGGGGGUUGGAUAGUUUCUGCGGGUGGGGUUGGACGCGCGGGUUAUCGGCUAGUUGGUGGGGUAGUGGCUUACCAAGGCUUUGACGGAUAGCCGGCCUGAGAGGGUGACCGGCCACAUUGGUACUGAGGUACGGCCCAGACGCCUACAGGGGGCAGCAGUGGGGAAUAUUGCACAAUCGGCGGAAGCCUGAGGCAGCGACGCCGCGUGCGGGAUGACGGCCUUCGGGGUGAAAACCGCUUUCGCCUGUGACGAAGCGUGUGUGACGGUAAUGAGUAAAGAAGCACCGGCUAACUACGUG
Molecule: ribosomal RNA, 468 nt
Filed under: uncultured bacterium
Lineage: Bacteria
Description: partial 16S ribosomal RNA
Rfam family: Bacterial small subunit ribosomal RNA
Source: RNAcentral